This 266-nucleotide long non-coding RNA is filed under the name Fukomys damarensis (Damara mole-rat). Its description in RNAcentral is "lncRNA (ENSFDAG00000030776.1)". Lineage: Eukaryota; Metazoa; Chordata; Mammalia; Rodentia; Bathyergidae. The record is from RNAcentral.
CGCACGCGCACGCACACGCGUCCCUCCCCACGCGAGCCCUGGGCCGUGCUGUCCAGAGUGCGAGGUCUCCUCAGCUCCUGGCUCCCAGCUCUUGGACCUCUCAGCUUCCAGAAACACGUGUAACUGAGGUUCUCAGAAAGUUAAAACAACCAGGCAUAUCGGUGCACAUCUGUACUCACAGCACUGGGGAGGCUGAGGCAAGAGAAAUGCCACGAAAUUAAGGCCAUCCUGGACCAUAUAACAAGACCCUGUCUCAACCACCCCCA